Molecule: long non-coding RNA, 828 nt
Organism: Triticum dicoccoides
Lineage: Eukaryota; Viridiplantae; Streptophyta; Magnoliopsida; Poales; Poaceae
Exons: 3
Source: RefSeq, a predicted model, not a curated record
UCCCUAAUUAAUCGCCUUGUUUCCAACCUCUCGCCGUCGAGCUCACAAUUCCACCGCGUCGGCCCUGAUCUAUCCGACGUCGCCACUCAGAUCAGAUCCACUCCACCGCCCCACUUCUCGAUGCGGCCUCCAUUCCACUUCACUGGAGUACACGCAGGCCGCAGCUGCAGCAGGCGCCGAGUUGGACGCGGUUGCGGGCAGUUCGACCCCAUCAUGCGUGAGCGGCAAUCACACGUCGUCACCGGCGGCACUAUGUGCCACAGACUCCAGCUACUAUUGGCAUACGUGAUACGUCCUCAAUCUGCAUGCCCUAGAGACUAAGCAGAUGCAAUGCUACUCAAACCCAGAGUGUCUAGUGCAAAUCUUCAACCGCGACCGUCAAACGAUCUGAUCCCAAAGGGGAAGUUCAAGGGCCUAAACUGGAUGAUGGAAGCUGUGGGUUCCGUUUCGGCAAAGGAGAGGUGGUAGUAGCAGCUACUUUGGUGGGUUCCUUCUCUUCACCAUUCGUGGUGCUCCUGGAUUACCUCAAGGACUUUGAGAAGUACCUGCUUGCUUGAGCAUCAUAUCGGAGAUGACGAUGCGGGCUACGACAUGAGCGGUGGGAUGCUAGGGCAUGAGUCUUAUUAGCAGUAGUGUCUGGUCCAUGCUAGAUAUUUCUAAAUGGUUGUCUCCUAAUCUAGAAGUGAAUCAGUCAACUGUCCUGAUUGGUUAUGCUAUUUGUCCUUGUCUUGUAAACAUCUAUGUUGACCGAUGAAAAGCUCAAAAUGUUAUAGGAUUGAGUCUGAGCUGCUGAAACUUGAUGCCAUCCGGCUGCUGUGCGUAAAAAUA